This 253-nucleotide ribosomal RNA is filed under the name uncultured bacterium. RNAcentral describes it as "partial 16S ribosomal RNA". It matches the Rfam family "Bacterial small subunit ribosomal RNA", at positions 524 to 776 of the family's 1533-position model. The record is from RNAcentral.
UACAUAGGGGGCAAGCGUUAUCCGGAAUUAUUGGGUGUAAAGGGUGCGUAGACGGAGAAACAAGUUGGUCGUGAAAUCCCUCGGCUCAACCGAGGAACUGCAACCAAAACUAUUUCCCUUGAGUGUCGGAGAGGAAAGUGGAAUUCCUAGUGUAGCGGUGAAAUGCGUAGAUAUUAGGAGGAACACCAGUGGCGAAGGCGACUUUCUGGACGAUAACUGACGUUGAGGCACGAAAGUGUGGGGAGCAAACAGG